Molecule: ribosomal RNA, 492 nt
Filed under: uncultured bacterium
Lineage: Bacteria
Description: partial 16S ribosomal RNA
Rfam family: Bacterial small subunit ribosomal RNA
Source: RNAcentral
AGUGAACGCUGGCGGUAGGCCUAACACAUGCAAGUCGAACGGCAGCACAGUAAGAGCUUGCUCUUACGGGUGGCGAGUGGCGGACGGGUGAGGAAUACAUCGGAAUCUACUUUUUCGUGGGGGAUAACGUAGGGAAACUUACGCUAAUACCGCAUACGACCUACGGGUGAAAGCAGGGGACCUUCGGACCUUGCGCGAUUGAAUGAGCCGAUUUCGGAUUAGCUAGUUGGCGGGGUAAAGGCCCACCAAGGCGACGAUCCGUAGCUGGUCUGAGAGGAUGAUCAGCCACACUGGAACUGAGACACGGUCCAGACUCCUACGGGAGGCAGCAGUGGGGAAUAUUGGACAAUGGGCGCAAGCCUGAUCCAGCCAUACCGCGUGGGUGAAGAAGGCCUUCGGGUUGUAAAGCCCUUUUGUUGGGAAAGAAAAGCAGCAGGUUAAUACCCCGCUGUUCUGACGGUACCCAAAGAAUAAGCACCGGCUAACUUCGUG